This 445-nucleotide ribosomal RNA is filed under the name uncultured bacterium. RNAcentral's name for it is "bacterial SSU rRNA". It matches the Rfam family "Bacterial small subunit ribosomal RNA", at positions 354 to 796 of the family's 1533-position model. The record is from RNAcentral.
GUGAGGAAUAUUGGUCAAUGGGCGAGAGCCUGAACCAGCCAAGUAGCGUGAAGGAUGACUGCCCUAUGGGUUGUAAACUUCUUUUAUAAAGGAAUAAAGUCGGGUAUGCAUACCCGUUUGCAUGUACUUUAUGAAUAAGGAUCGGCUAACUCCGUGCCAGCAGCCGCGGUAAUACGGAGGAUCCGAGCGUUAUCCGGAUUUAUUGGGUUUAAAGGGAGCGUAGGCGGGUUGUUAAGUCAGUUGUGAAAGUUUGCGGCUCAACCGUAAAAUUGCAGUUGAUACUGGCGACCUUGAGUGCAACAGAGGUAGGCGGAAUUCGUGGUGUAGCGGUGAAAUGCUUAGAUAUCACGAAGAACUCCGAUUGCGAAGGCAGCCUGCUAAGCUGCAACUGACAUUGAGGCUCGAAAGUGUGGGUAUCAAACAGGAUUAGAAACCCCUGUAGUCC